Molecule: long non-coding RNA, 693 nt
Filed under: Helianthus annuus (common sunflower)
Lineage: Eukaryota; Viridiplantae; Streptophyta; Magnoliopsida; Asterales; Asteraceae
Description: sRNA HanXRQr2_Chr01g0013421
Source: RNAcentral
GGGUUUGGUAAUCAAACCACGUUAAUAGUAAAGACGGGUAAAAUGCCGUUAGUGGUAAAAAUUAACCCGGUAAAUAUUAGGACUCAAAUAAAUAAACCUAGUAUUAAUUAAAAAGGGGGAUAAAUACUUUGAGAAAACAAAGUAUAUAAAAAGGCCAAAUUAACGGGACUUAAAAACAUAACAGGUUAUAAUUUCCCGAACCCGUUAAAAUAACUAGGAGUAAUUAACCUAGUUAGUGGCUUGUGAUUAAGUGACUAAUGGUGAGGCAUAGCUUUAUUUGAUCAAAAGAAAACCCGAGGGACCAAAACCGUUAAAAAUGGUAAACUUGAAAGAUUAAAACAAAAUAAACACCACCAAACACACACUUAGGUGUGUUUGGUCGAUUAAAAACGCAGGGAACGAGCAGGAGCUUCACACAAACCCUAACUCUCACUAAAUCAAUCAAUUGAAGGCUCUAAUCUGGUCCAAAUCGAAAUCCGAGCACGUAUUAGUGAUCCCCACUGAAAAAGGAGUCACAAGUUUGACUCUAAACAAGCUAGGUGGGAGCUUGGAAAGGAACGGGUCAAACGAAUGAUGGAUGCGAAGGAUGUUUGCGCGGACGCGAGGGUAAAACGGCUUAUGGAAUUUACGUGGCUAUGAAUCAGCAAAUUAUUAAGGAAAGGUAUUAAAACGGGUCAAUACUUUGACCCGCGC